UACGAAGGGUGCAAGCGUUAAUCGGAAUUACUGGGCGUAAAGCGUGCGCAGGCGGUUUUGUAAGUCAGAUGUGAAAUCCCCGGGCUCAACCUGGGAAUGGCAUUUGGGACUGCAAGGCUUGAGUGCGGCAGAGGAGACUGGAAUUCCUGGUGUAGCAGUGAAAUGCGUAGAUAUCAGGAGGAAUACCGAUGGCGAAGGCAGGUCUCUGGGCCACUACUGACGCUGAGAAGCGAAAGCGUGGGGAGCGAACAGG
This 253-nucleotide ribosomal RNA is filed under the name uncultured bacterium. RNAcentral's name for it is "partial 16S ribosomal RNA". It matches the Rfam family "Bacterial small subunit ribosomal RNA", at positions 524 to 776 of the family's 1533-position model. The record is from RNAcentral.